Molecule: long non-coding RNA, 616 nt
Organism: Lethenteron reissneri (Far Eastern brook lamprey)
Lineage: Eukaryota; Metazoa; Chordata; Hyperoartia; Petromyzontiformes; Petromyzontidae
Source: RefSeq, a predicted model, not a curated record
GCCAGCUUUGCGUUAGGGGCCGUCCAUUUCUGUCGGAGUAGAUCUAGUGGUGGGACGGCGUCUUUCUCCUCUCUCACACACCAAGAGGUUCACAAGUCGCGUGAGCUCCACUCGCAGCCCUGCCUCCUACUCCGUCAUCACGGAAACCAGAGCUGUCACUGCAGCAACCGAGUCAGCCCUGUUUAGUCAAUCGGGGGCGAGGUUCCAACAACCACAGCAACAAACACCAGGUGUCUGUACUUGACUCGGGAACUCACAAUGGCGCUUGCUCCGUUUUUCUGUCCAAAUCCCCACGACUUUUGACAUCUGUCCAAUUCCCCAUGACUUUUGACAUUUAACCAGGACAUCCCUGGCCCUGGUUACUAUGAUGUGAGUGAGGUGGUGAGGAGAAAAAAACGGGCACCCCAUCGUACUCGGACUUCAACGCCUUUGCCCAGCUCACUGCUGUAGAGGUCUCCAGUGCCCAGACAGAAGGGCAUUCCAGGCUCUGGCCAUUAUGAACCGAGGCCUCAGGCUUGCCCUCGCCUGACUCUGCUGGUGUCCCGUGAGGACCACUUUCCUGAGCGAUCAACCCCGGGCCCAGAACCUGGAGAAUAUGAGGUACAGACAUUCGCAC